This 303-nucleotide ribosomal RNA is filed under the name uncultured bacterium. RNAcentral describes it as "bacterial SSU rRNA". It matches the Rfam family "Bacterial small subunit ribosomal RNA", at positions 355 to 675 of the family's 1533-position model. The record is from RNAcentral.
UGGGGAAUAUUGCACAAUGGGGGAAACCCUGAUGCAGCGACGCCGCGUGAGUGAAGAAGUAUUUCGGUAUGUAAAGCUCUAUCAGCAGGGAAGAAAAUGACGGUACCUGACUAAGAAGCCCCGGCUAACUACGUGCCAGCAGCCGCGGUAAUACGUAGGGGGCAAGCGUUAUCCGGAUUUACUGGGUGUAAAGGGAGCGUAGACGGCAGCGCAAGUCUGAAGUGAAAUGCCAGGGCUUAACCCUGGAACUGCUUUGGAAACUGUGCAGCUAGAGUGCAGGAGAGGUAAGUGGAAUUUCUAGUG